AUUUAAUGAUGGUAUUUUCAUGUGAUACAUUAUACAGAUGUUUUAAACUUUCUAUGAAACUCCGUGCAGGUCUGGACUGAGUUGUGAAAGAAAGUAGGCAAAUACAAGGUUUAAAGUUAUCCAUGUUUUGUUGGGUAGACAGCCAUAUAGACCUCAACAGCUAGAGCAUUUGUUGUGACUGAAAAUUACAUCACAAUCUCUUCGGCGUUGACUCUGGGAUUUGAUUUUGUCCAUUAGACCAGCUUUCUCAUUCCUGCAUACUGUAUAGAUUAAACCGCUUUAACAUAGAUGCUUUAGUUGAACAUGUAGAGAUUGUACUUUAGUAAAUAUUUUAGUCCACAUUUCAUUUGUUAAACAAAAAGCACUUACUGUACUGUUUGGAAACGGCUCUUUUCAUACCUGGAAAUUUGGACCGGUUUCCCAGCUCUAAUCGUUGGUGACUUGAGACUUGAUUAUAAGUGUGAAGUAGGGCGGAACACUUUCACUGACUUGGAAACAAUAUUCAUUGUAAUUCUGAAUGUCAGUAUAACAUGUUUCUAUCUGGUUUCACACUGGUGCUUCAUGUGCAAUGCAAUGGCACAGAGCAUACUUCAAGAUCAUCUUCAUCUGUGAAAACACCUACAAUGAGUUUUACAAAACCAGAUAACUAGAAUUCAGAAACAUUAAAUACACACACACACACACACACACACACACACAAAUGUCUUUCUUGUCCCAUUUCCCCUUGAAACCACAUUUUAGUGCCAUUAUAUUUAUUUGCAAGAAGGUUUGCAAGAAAUGCUGCUAUAUAUGUUGCAUUGAUCACAUGAUCCAUUGUCGUUCCAGGUACUGAUUCUAACUUGACUCUCUGCCCAAAGUUUUUUUUGCCAUUCUGUAAAUGAAGAAGUAGUUCGACAAUCUGUGAGCAUAAAUUGCAAGUGGUCCUGGCCAUACUGACCCUAAGACAGUUGCCAUAUCUUUUCAAACGCCAAAGAUUUUCUUUCAUUGAGUUCUGUAUUCCAUUGACUGUUUGACAGCUGUUAGUGUCUGAAGUAUCAUAUUCCACCAGUAACAGUGUUGAGGACUUUUCUGAUGUUUUUGGCUGUGCUAGUCUGCCUUUCGUGUGUUUCGUAUGCCGUACUUCAAACAAUGAAAAAUGGGGGGA
This is a long non-coding RNA of Cyprinus carpio carpio, 1144 nucleotides long. NCBI's taxonomy places the organism in Eukaryota, Metazoa, Chordata, Actinopteri, Cypriniformes, Cyprinidae. The record is from Ensembl.